This 468-nucleotide ribosomal RNA is filed under the name uncultured bacterium. RNAcentral's name for it is "partial 16S ribosomal RNA". It matches the Rfam family "Bacterial small subunit ribosomal RNA", at positions 28 to 507 of the family's 1533-position model. The record is from RNAcentral.
GACGAACGCUGGCGGCGUGCUUAACACAUGCAAGUCGAACGGAAAGGCCCUGCUUUUGUGGGGUGCUCGAGUGGCGAACGGGUGAGUAACACGUGAGUAACCUGCCCUUGACUUUGGGAUAACUUCAGGAAACUGGGGCUAAUACCGGAUAGGAGCUCCUGCUGCAGGGUGGGGGUUGGAAAGUUUCGGCGGUUGGGGAUGGACUCGCGGCUUAUCAGCUUGUUGGUGGGGUAGUGGCUUACCAAGGCUUUGGCGGGUAGCCGGCCUGAGAGGGUGACCGGCCACAGUGGGACUGAGAUUCGGCCCCGACUCCUACGGGAGGCAGCAGUGGGGAAUAUUGCACAAUGGGCGGAAGCCUGAUGCAGCAACGCCGCGUGCGGGAUGACGGCCUUCGGGUUGUAGACCGCUUUCGCCUGUGACGAAGCGUGAGUGACGGUAAUGGGUAAAGAAGCACCGGCUAACUACGUG